Molecule: ribosomal RNA, 492 nt
Filed under: uncultured bacterium
Lineage: Bacteria
Description: partial 16S ribosomal RNA
Rfam family: Bacterial small subunit ribosomal RNA
Source: RNAcentral
AUUGAACGCUGGCGGCAUGCUUUACACAUGCAAGUCGAACGGUAACAGGCCUUCGGGUGCUGACGAGUGGCGAACGGGUGAGUAAUGCAUCGGAACGUACCCAGAGGUGGGGGAUAACGCAGCGAAAGCUGUGCUAAUACCGCAUGUGAUCUGAGGAUGAAAGCGGGGGACCGAGCAGCAAUGUUUGGCCUCGCGCCUUUGGAGCGGCCGAUGUCGGAUUAGCUAGUUGGUGGGGUAAAGGCCUACCAAGGCGACGAUCCGUAGCUGGUCUGAGAGGACGACCAGCCACACUGGGACUGAGACACGGCCCAGACUCCUACGGGAGGCAGCAGUGGGGAACUUUGGGCAAUGGGCGCAAGCCUGAUCCAGCAAUGCCGCGUGCGGGAAGAAGGCCUUCGGGUUGUAAACCGCUUUUGGCAGGAACGAAACGGUGUCCGCUAAUACCGGGCGCUAAUGACGGUACCUGCAGAAUAAGCACCGGCUAACUACGUG